GCUGGUGUGGCUCAGUGGAUAGAGCGUCAGCCUGUGGACUGAGGGGUCCCAGGUUCGAUUCCGGCCAAGGGCA
Molecule: transfer RNA, 73 nt
Filed under: Myotis lucifugus (little brown bat)
Lineage: Eukaryota; Metazoa; Chordata; Mammalia; Chiroptera; Vespertilionidae
Rfam family: tRNA
About the family: Transfer RNA (tRNA) molecules are approximately 80 nucleotides in length. Their secondary structure includes four short double-helical elements and three loops (D, anti-codon, and T loops). Further hydrogen bonds mediate the characteristic L-shaped molecular structure. tRNAs have two regions of fundamental functional importance: the anti-codon, which is responsible for specific mRNA codon recognition, and the 3' end, to which the tRNAs corresponding amino acid is attached (by aminoacyl-tRNA synthetases). tRNAs cope with the degeneracy of the genetic code in two manners: having more than one tRNA (with a specific anti-codon) for a particular amino acid; and 'wobble' base-pairing, i.e. permitting non-standard base-pairing at the 3rd anti-codon position.
Source: Rfam by way of RNAcentral